Molecule: long non-coding RNA, 304 nt
Filed under: Notechis scutatus (mainland tiger snake)
Lineage: Eukaryota; Metazoa; Chordata; Lepidosauria; Squamata; Elapidae
Description: lncRNA (ENSNSUG00000012275.1)
Source: RNAcentral
CACAAAAUGGCUGCCUGCGAGGAGACCAUCCACGCACAAGGUGGUUCUAAUAGGAGUCUGGAAUUUUCUGCUGGUCUCUUUUUUACGAACUGGGCCUCUCCUGAUUAAUUGAGAAGAGUGAACAAGAAGAUUAAACAUAUAUACUUGAAGACUGAGGUGGGAACCAGCCAGUCCCAGACCAGAGAUGCCUGUUAUGUAAACCCCAAACAACCACACAAUUGCAAGGAAAGUCAAGAAAAGAAGCCAGGAGUUUAGCAAUUAACUGGCUUCAUUCUUGUUUGCAAUAAAGAUUCUAAUCCAGUCA